UACGGAGGGUGCAAGCGUUAUCCGGAUUUACUGGGUUUAAAGGGUGCGUAGGCGGAAUGAUAAGUCAGUGGUGAAAUCUCGGAGCUUAACUCCGAAACUGCCAUUGAUACUGUCAAUCUUGAGUACAUUUGAUGUGGGCGGAAUGUGUCAUGUAGCGGUGAAAUGCUUAGAUAUGACACAGAACACCGAUUGCGAAGGCAGCUCACAAAACUGUAACUGACGCUGAGGCACGAAAGCGUGGGUAUCAAACAGG
Molecule: ribosomal RNA, 253 nt
Filed under: uncultured bacterium
Lineage: Bacteria
Description: partial 16S ribosomal RNA
Rfam family: Bacterial small subunit ribosomal RNA
Source: RNAcentral